Molecule: long non-coding RNA, 727 nt
Filed under: Manihot esculenta (cassava)
Lineage: Eukaryota; Viridiplantae; Streptophyta; Magnoliopsida; Malpighiales; Euphorbiaceae
Description: long non-coding RNA (MESC_LNC000932)
Source: RNAcentral
UAAGCAAGCCAUGAACCGAUGAUUCAGAUAAAAAUCCCCCAUCUAGCGAAUGGGUGUACAUAGUAUGUACCUAUACAAUCUCCCAUACAGUGAAUGGGUAAGACCGCAAGACAAUUUACAUCAAAUAGAUUAUUAACUUUCAACAAAUCUACGCUAAACAGAUGAUGGCUUUAGCUUCAAACAAAACCCACUAAUCAUAAAACUCUAAGCACAAACCAAAUCCGUAGAAACUCCAAACCAAAAGCCAAAUCUAAUUCGCAUCGAUUAAUCACAACAACGUAGCUAAAUCCCACAUUAAAAAAAUCUAAAACCGGAAAAUAUAUAUAUAUAUAUAUAUAUAUAUAUAUAUAUAUAUAUACACAGAGACCUAAAACGAUUUCUCAACAAAUCAAAUCUCGGAUCGAGCAAAAGCAGUUUCAAUCGGGAGAGACGCCACAAAUCUCUUAAGAAAAACAACCAAACAUACAAAGAAGAUAACCAAGAAAAAUGAAAAAGAAAUCACAAUCGAUAGCAAUAAAAUCGAAUUAAAUCGCUUAAGGACUCAGAUAACUUUACCUAAGAAUGUAGAAAAUAGAAGGGUUUCAAACAGAUGGCUUCAGAUUGUGCGAGCUGUCAAGGGGGUGUAUUAUAAGAUGCUUUGGUUUGGCUUUGGGGUAGAGCAAGAGAGAGUCAGUUUUUAGGGCAAACUCAGCCUCCUAAUUUUAAUUUCCUUUCUUCUUUUCUCAUU